GCCUCCCACCCGACCCAACCCAAUCAAACCCUAGCCGCCCUAAUCUUCUUCUUCGUCUUCUCCUCUCCAUCUCCAUGGAACACAGCCAAGCAAUGGAUGGAUGGAUCCUUUCUUCAUCACAAGAAGGCAAAAGCAGGAGGCCUCUUUCCCCUCCCUCCCUGCCUCUCUCCCAAUCCAACCCAACCCUAGCCGCCCCAAUCUUCCUCCUCCUCUUCUUCUUCUUCUUAUUCUCUCCUUGAUUGAUGAUUGAAACACAGCCAAGCAAUGGAUGGAUCCUUCCUUCAUCACAACAAGGCACAAGCAGGAUUCAUGGAUGGAUGGCGGCCUCUCUUGUCUUCAAGACAACAAGGCAGAAGCAGGAUUCAUGGAUGGAUGGAUGGCCACCAUGACACGCUAGAUCCGGCCACCUCCUCCCUGGAUCUACAAUUUUUUUUCUUCUUUCGGAGCAAAAGUCGCCCUUGGAUCUGCAAGUUCUUUUUUUUAGCAAAGUCCGUCCAUGGUGUGCUACUCUCCCUCACCACUGCCCGUCGGUGGCAUGAAACCGGCCGAUUUCUGGAUCUGAGGUUCGGAUCCCAAGCAGAGCACAAUCGUUCGUCGUCUUGGCUUUCCUGACGCACGUCCAGCGCCAGGCGGGACCUCCGUUGGGCAUUUCCUUGCGAACGUUCGCUUCACAAGCUAGUCGCCCGAUCCAUCGGCCCAGCACCACUGGGCCCCUGCUGCGUGGCCUGGGCUUCCGGCGAGCGGAAUGAGCCUGUGGGCAAGCGGCUUAACGGGCCUCCGCCCAGCACAGCACAAUCUGGACGGCCCGCCUAGGGCGCCAAAACCCUAGGCGAGCGGGCUAUAAAACCCAGGGCGAGGGCCACGCGGGCGCCACGCUCCCCCGCCGCCGCCGCCGCCUCGAUCUAUCGCCGCCGACGCCAAGGUGUCCCAUCAUCAAUGGCGAUCGGAGGAGAGGCUGGGGAUUCGUCUGGAGUGGACCGCACCGACACCUAUGGAUCCGGCCAAGGCGAGCAGGUGUUACCACCACCCUCUGGCAAGCUGGCUCGCUUGCUGAUGGGGCUCCUGCCUCAGCUCCUUCAGGGAUCUCCAGGGUACCCAUCUUUCUACUGAUGAAUGCAUGUUUGUGAUGUUAAUGUUUUUAAUAAUGCAGCUGAUGUACCUUUUUAUGUGCAUGCUGUUACAUUUGUGCUGUUUCGUGGUCAUUUACAAGGCUUGAUUACCUUCCCAAUCUGAAUUAGUUGCUUGACAAUUGUCCAUGCUCUUCACAUGAUACCCUUCUGAAUCUUAAAUGCAUGCUGUGAGCUCCUAAUCUUUUAUAAUCAUAGCCAGUGCCCUUUGCAUUCAUCUCCUACAAAUUGCUUUUUAUGCAACAUGUUAGAUGUCAUCUUUCUCUGUGAUGCAUGCUGUGUCAUUUCUCUAUUCAAUGCAGUAAUAUGACAUUAUUAUCUUCCCAAUGUGAAAUACACGCUCAUAUGUGUGGCUAUUGUUCAUGUUCAA
Molecule: long non-coding RNA, 1497 nt
Organism: Triticum dicoccoides
Lineage: Eukaryota; Viridiplantae; Streptophyta; Magnoliopsida; Poales; Poaceae
Exons: 4
Source: RefSeq, a predicted model, not a curated record